CUAUAUGUAAUGCAAGUGCAGAACCCUAUAGUCAGGAUUUCUGUAUGAAGAGCAGAACCCUAUAGUUAGGAUCUCUAUAUGAAGUUCAGAAAUGCAGCAGGCUGUGAUUAUAUGGAUAAAUACCUAAAAUCAUGAAGUCCACCUGUAUGCAUACAUGAGUGACCUUUCCCUUUUUAUUAAAACCCCAUAUGUUAUUACAAACUAUUACAACCAGAAUGAAUCAAAAAAAGGUCAAAUUACAUAAAAAAUUUAAGCUACAACCAAGCAACCUAAUUCAGACUCGAGACUAACAAUAUGAGAUGAACCAACUUCCAGGAUCAGAUUUCCAAAGCUUUUCUCUUAUUAAGGAUGUAACAAAGUUCCCUAAGAGUCUCAAGUGAACUCCGGGCAGUGCUUACACCCCAAAUAUAUUACAGAAUUAAGAUAGUUCAGUGUGGAAGAGCCAACCUUCAAAUAUCCAAGUUCAGAGGGAACUCAAGGUCCCAAAGCAAGGCUCAUAGGAGGGGCAGAACUUCGAAUCUAAGAGACAGUGCAAGUGCAUAGAGGGGAUUUAGGGGGAAAGCCAUGGCAGGCUGGUGGUCAUGCCCCACAAUUAGGAGUGCUUGCACACCCUUGAUCAGCAUGUUAGCCAUAUUUAUUGGGACUUAGUCCAUUAAGGAUCAGGUCCAGACAUGAGCAACAAUUUGGAUACUGCCAUGCCUGAAACUUAACUCAAACGCAUAGAAGGGAGUAGGGAGUAAUGGGUUCACAAUAGAAACAGAUGCAAGAAAAGAACAUGCAUAGUUAAUUUUAGUCACUGAUCAUGGAUAGUAAAGCAAAUAGGAUUGCAGAAGCUGUAAAUAAACGUAUUGGGAUGAUGGAUGAAACUAAAUCACAACAUACUAGUUUCAUAAAAUAAAAAGAGAAAAAGCAGAAGUCUUGUAAACCAAAUUGCAAGCAAGCAGUCCAAGAGAUCUCAGAAGAGAGUAUUGGAAGAGUAUUGUAAUAGAGAGGUGUGUGUGUGUAAAAGUAUUGAAUUCGAAGCGUGUCCAAAGUACAGAAGGGUAGUCUCCUUUUAUAGUACAAAAGUCAAGUAAGAAAAGGUAAGAAAAUAGUUCUGCAAUCAAUCACAUAAAGUUUCUCUUUAGUUAAGGGAUUCUGAUUUCAAAUGGAUAGAAGACAAUUAAGGAAAGAAUUGGAUUAAAAUCUUUUCCAAAGUAAAACAAGAAGGGUAAAUGCACAAGGUUUAUUUAAGGAAAAAGUCCAAUGGUAAAGGUUUAUAAAAAAUAAGGAAAGAGAAUCACUCAAAUAGCCAUUAAGAUCAAAAUUGCAGGCUUUGUUCGAAUGAAUUAAGUCAGGAAAAGGUAAAGAAGGAUCAAUUAAAUAAAAUUAGUAACAAUCAGUCAAGCCUAUUAAAAGGGAUUCAGAAUCAAUCAAUAGUUGGCAAAACCUUUUUUGAACAAAGAAUUUCUCAUAUAUAAAGCACACAAAUAUGUGAAUCAAGAAGGAACUGUCAUGUUACCUAAAAACGAUUCUAGCAUAGAAAGGUUUAGAAUCACAAGCAAAGGGAUGCAAGUUUGUAGACUUAGAAUGAGUAUGAGAGUUCAGGGUCCCAAAGUAGAACCCUAACCUGAACACAAAAUCAAACUUUCCAAGGAAAACCUGAAAUCCUAGGGUUUCAAUCUUGAAUCAGACACAGAGUUGAGAAGGUACGCCAUUGAAACAGACUCAGAGGUCUCUUUCAAAGACUCAUGAGAAACCAACAGACGUGAUAGCAGGUUUGAAGCAACAAAGAGAAAAGGUUUAUUUAAAGGCAUAGAUAACAUGUUUAAGAAACGUUCGGGAUUUAAACAAGUUUAGAAGAGAGAAUCUGUGUGAUAUAAACUUAAAACAAUAAAGGAAGCAUGCUUAGAACUCAAAUAAAAGUCCAGUAACGCAAAUACAACUUAAGAACUCUGCAAGAAACACGUACAGUAGAAAAAUACUGGAAAGUAUAGCAAAGAACAUAACAAAGAUUAACAUGCAAAUCUAGUCUAUAGGCACAGUAGAGUACAAAGGUACAGAAGAGUUAUGUAUAGUGGAAAGAAAACAGAAGAACAACACAUGUGUGGUAGAAAAGAAAACAUACGACCAUAAUAUAGACAAACACUCAUAAAAAAAAAAGAAAAUAAAGAAUUAGAAAGAUGUUUUGAAAACCUAUCAAAACCAAUAAAUCGAAGACAAACGAUUUUGAAAGGAAAAUAUGGGGAAAACACUUUAAAAGUCAAGUAAAGAAUAGAUACAACAUAGAUCUAAAACAGAGAAAAACCUUAAAUAGCUUAGGGUUUCAGAGAACCCUAGAAAUGAGAAAGGCUUGGAAGAAAGUAUGAUCUCGAGUCGGAUGAGUUAGAAUCAGGCUCCUAAUGCUUUGGAUACGUCGGAGCGGGCUGGAGCAGUCGUAAAACCAUAGAUCAGAGAAGAUAUGAAGGUGAACCAUCGAGGUCAGACUUCAAAGUUUCGAACACCUAAGGUUUAAUGAUGGAUAUGGGGUGAGUACAGGCCAUCCAUGGCCUGAGAAACCAUGGAUUCCGGUGGAGUGGUGGUUGAAAAGGGCAGGAGAUGACUAGGGUUCUGAAGAACCAUUGAGAGAGUUUGAAGACGAAGGGAUUUCAAAGGCGGCUAUCAGAAUAAAAAUGAGGGAUUUUGGUAGGUUGUUUGAGUUUAAUUAUGAAAGGGUAAAUAAUGGACAUUGAUCUGAAUGAUCAACGGUCGAGAUAUAAGAAGGUAGGUGAGGAACCGGGUAGGGUCAUUUGAAAUGGGUUAUAGGUUGGGUCAAAAAUCAAAAUUGGGCCGGUCCAGUUG
RNAcentral lists this long non-coding RNA (2820 nucleotides) under Nicotiana benthamiana. Its description in RNAcentral is "long non-coding RNA (NBEN_LNC003636)". Lineage: Eukaryota; Viridiplantae; Streptophyta; Magnoliopsida; Solanales; Solanaceae. The record is from RNAcentral.